AUUGAACGCUGGCGGCAUGCCUUACACAUGCAAGUCGAACGGUAACGGGCCUUCGGGUGCCGACGAGUGGCGAACGGGUGAGUAAUACAUCGGAACGUGCCCGAUCGUGGGGGAUAACGGGGCGAAAGCUUUGCUAAUACCGCAUACGAUCUACGGAUUAAAGCAGGGGACCGCAAGGCCUUGCUCGGACGGAUCGGCCGAUGGCAGAUUAGGUAGUUGGUGGGAUAAAAGCUUACCAAGCCGACGAUCUGUAGCUGGUCUGAGAGGAUGAUCAGCCACACUGGGACUGAGACACGGCCCAGACUCCUACGGGAGGCAGCAGUGGGGAAUUUUGGACAAUGGGCGAAAGCCUGAUCCAGCCAUGCCGCGUGAAGGAUGAAGGCCUUCGGGUUGUAAACUGCUUUUGUACGGAACGAAAAGCCUUCUUUUAAUACAGGAGGGUCAUGACGGUACCGUAAGAAUAAGCACCGGCUAACUACGUG
This 482-nucleotide ribosomal RNA is filed under the name uncultured bacterium. RNAcentral describes it as "partial 16S ribosomal RNA". It matches the Rfam family "Bacterial small subunit ribosomal RNA", at positions 30 to 507 of the family's 1533-position model. The record is from RNAcentral.